CGUAGGGGGCUAGCGUUAUCCGGAAUUACUGUGCGUAAAGGGUGCGUAGGCGGUCUUUCAAGUCAGGAGUGAAAGGCUACGGCUCAACCGUAGUAAGCUCUUGAAACUGUAAGACUUGAGUGCAGGAGAGGAGAGUGGAAUUCCUAGUGUAGCGGUGAAAUGCGUAGAUAUCAGGAGGAACACCAGUAGCGAAUGCGGCUCUCUGGACUGUAACUGACGCUGAGGCACGAAAGCGUGGGGAGCAAACAGGAUUAGAUA
This 258-nucleotide ribosomal RNA is filed under the name uncultured prokaryote. RNAcentral's name for it is "partial 16S ribosomal RNA". It matches the Rfam family "Bacterial small subunit ribosomal RNA", at positions 526 to 784 of the family's 1533-position model. The record is from RNAcentral.